CUAACGAGGAACGAUCGGAGGGCAAGUCUGGUGCCAGCAGCCGCGGUAAUUCCAGCUCCAAUAGCGUACGUUAAAGUUGCUGCAGUUAAAAAGCUCGUAGUUGAACGUUCGGGUUCCGCGGGACGGGGCCGCCCCGCGAGGGACGGCGCCGCCCCGGGGCUCGUGAUAUCUCAUCUCGCCGCCCGUCGCGAGGCGGACGGAGGGAUGGAUGAGGUUACCUGGAAAAAAUCGGGGCGAUCUAGGCGGGCGAACCUCGCCAACGAACGAUCGGACAUGGGAUAACGGAAGAGGGCGUCGGCUCGACUUCGUCGGUUCCUCGGGCCGAGGCACGUACGGUGAAUAGGGACGGUCGGGGCCGCCCGUACCGGGUCGUGAGAGGUGAAAUUCUAGGAUCGACCCGAGACGAACCGCCGCGAAAGCAUUCGGCAAGGACGCUUCUAUAAUUACAAGAACGAAAGUACGGGGAGUCG
Molecule: ribosomal RNA, 470 nt
Filed under: uncultured eukaryote
Lineage: Eukaryota
Description: bacterial SSU rRNA
Rfam family: Eukaryotic small subunit ribosomal RNA
Source: RNAcentral